Molecule: ribosomal RNA, 253 nt
Filed under: uncultured bacterium
Lineage: Bacteria
Description: partial 16S ribosomal RNA
Rfam family: Bacterial small subunit ribosomal RNA
Source: RNAcentral
UACGUAGGGUGCGAGCGUUAAUCGGAAUUACUGGGCGUAAAGCGUGCGCAGGCGGUUUUGUAAGCCAGAUGUGAAAUCCCCGGGCUUAACCUGGGAAUGGCAUUUGGGACUGCAAGGCUUGAGUGCGGCAGAGGAGACUGGAAUUCCUGGUGUAGCAGUGAAAUGCGUAGAUAUCAGGAGGAAUACCGAUGGCGAAGGCAGGUCUCUGGGCUGACACUGACGCUCAUGCACGAAAGCGCGGGGAGCAAACAGG